RNAcentral lists this ribosomal RNA (474 nucleotides) under uncultured bacterium. RNAcentral describes it as "bacterial SSU rRNA". It matches the Rfam family "Bacterial small subunit ribosomal RNA", at positions 28 to 507 of the family's 1533-position model. The record is from RNAcentral.
GAUGAACGCUAGCGGGAGGCUUAAUACAUGCAAGUCGAGGGUGAAGCUAGUUUUCGGAUGGUGGAAACCGGCGCACGGGUGAGUAACGCGUACACUACCUACCUCAUACUGGGGAAUAGCCUUUGGAAACGAAGAGUAAUACCCCAUAGUUCCCGAUGUAUUUCGGGAUAAAGUUCCGGCGGUAUGAGAUGGGUGUGCGUCCCAUUAGCUAGUUGGUAGGGUAAAGGCCUACCAAGGCAACGAUGGGUAGGGGGCGUGAGAGCGUGAUCCCCCACACGGGUACUGAGACACGGACCCGACGACUACGGUCGGCAGCAGUAAGGAAUAUUGGACAAUGGGCGAAAGCCUGAUCCAGCCAUCCCGCGUGUAGGAUGACAGCCCUACGGGUCGUAAACUACUUUUGCUUGGGAAGAAACCCCUGGAUUUACUCCGGGGCUGACGGUACCUUGCGAAUAAGCACCGGCUAACUCCGUG